GGGGAUUUCCGUGGUGGAGCAGAAAUUCUUGCCUGACUCCAGGGCCUCCUAAACCACCCAACAAAGGUUUUGACCUCUUUGUGUCUAGAGCUGGAUAGAGUGAGUUCCUCCUGAGUACCUCGAAUAGUCGUGGUCUCUGGAGAGCCAGUUAACUUGGGAGAUCUUGAAGCAUAGUGGCUAUGAAUCCCAGAAGUGGUGGCACACACCUUUAAUCUGGGCUACACCUUCUGCUGGAGACAUACAUAAGGACAAUGGAAGAAGGAAGAUUCACUCUCUUCUUCACCUGCUUGCCUUGUGGGACUGAGCAACUGCUAGAUCCUUGGACUUCCAUUCACAGCUGCUGCUGACCAUUGUUGGGAGUUGGACUACUGUAAGUCAUCAACAAAUCCUUACUAUAUAGAGACUACCCAUGAGUUCUGUGCCUCUAGAGACCACUGACUAAUAGAUUCCAAACUGUAGUUAGAAUUAGGACUUUUAAAAAUCCCCUACUACAGUUGAAGAGCCAGGGCUUGGAAUCGGAGUUGCAAAACAUGGCCUCACAGCCGGGCAUGGUGGUGCACGCCUUUAAUCCCAGCACUCGGGAGGCAGAGGCAGGUGGAUCUCUGAGUUCGAGGGCAGCCUGGUCUACAAAGUGAGUUCCAGGACAGCCAGGGCUAUACAAAGAAACCCUGUCUCGAAAAACCAAAAAAACAAAAAAACAAAAAACAAAACAAAAAAAAAACAUGGCCUCACCUAAUAAGCCUCAAGACAGUAAACCAAUGAAAUGAGAGGGCUUUAGACACUGUAACAGUUAAAUCUACCCUGUAAGCUUAGAAAUUGCAGGUGUCCUAGGCAGUGGUGGCACAUGUCAUUAAUCCCAGCACUGGGGAGGCAGAGGCGGGCAGAUUUCUGAGUUCGAGGCCAGCCUGGUCUACAGAGUGAGUUCCAGGAUAGGCAGGGCUAUACAAAGAAACCCUGUCUCAAAAAAAAAGAAAAGAAAAGAGAAAAAGAAAAGAAAUUGCAGGUGUUAGGUUAGUGUUUCUCUGUUUCUCAACCUGUCUGAUGCUGCAGCCCUUUAAUACAGUUCUUCAUGUUGUGGUGACCCCCCCCCAGCCAUAAUAUGAUUUUGUUACUGUUAUGAACUGUAACAUAAAUAGUUUUGGAGAUACAGAUUUGCCAAAGGGGUUGUUACAGAUCGAGAACCACUGUGUUAGAGUAAAGGCGAUUUUGGCAGCUAUCAAACUGAGUGGUUGCGAUUUUUAAAAAUGUUUCUAUAGUUCAAUAGCUAUAAAAAUCUUAUUUUUUAUUGAGGUGCCUGUUUGAGUUGCCCAUCACAAGGCAGUGGCCACCUUUUCAGGCAACACUCCUUGCUAAUCUGUUCCCCCACUGUGGCAUUCCCACACACUGUAGACAGUGGUAAGGAGGUUAGAGACUGUUUUUUCAGGCUUGUAAACCUAUCUCCCAGAUAGGCUUUGGCCAGAGUAGCAUAAUCAAUGCCUGUUCAAUGGAUGGGUGAUUGUAAAGAACGGCACCAAGGAAGGCAGGUAGGCAGAGUACUUCUCAACCGUGGUUCACAUGUUGCUGUCCUGCUGGUGAUCUGGGGAGGGUAGAGCCAAUGUUUCCCUGUGGAAGUGUCUCCCCAGUCUAGACCAUGAAUCUACCCUUCCUUCCUGCAGCCAGGACCUUAGAUGAAGCCUGCUCUCCAGCCAGCUGUUCUCAGCAAGCCUAUCACAGUCUGCCCUCAGUCUCUCCCUCCUCUUGUAAUCCUCCUUGUCCUGACCAAGUACCAACUCACCAUUUCCUUUAUCAGGAAGCGACUCCACUCCCAGUGUCUUUUAUCUAUCUGACUGGUUCCCAGAAUCCUUUGCUGACCUCCUCUCCCCUUAACCUGGUUCCCAUGGCUCUUGUCCACCAUGUCCAGAGCACUUUGCAUUUCCAGAGGCUGGGGAUGAGGCUAUUUCUUAGGGAUGCCUAAUACUCCUUUGUCAGUCACAGUAGACCAUGGGCUCAUUUAAACCUGGACUGGGUCACUCACCUCUAUGUGAACAGUGUCUGGCACCCAGUCAUCCCUUACUCCUGUUGAAUGGAUUAAUCUAAACUAGGCUUGCCAGUCUGUAUUCAUGCAUGUAUUUUCUGAAUCAUUCUGUAUGUCUGUCUGAGGGCCUAUGUGCGUGUAGCUCCAUGCUCAUGUAGAGAGCAUACUAACGUGGGGAAAACAGAUGAUAAACAUGGACACCAUCAGGUUACUUAGUUACAUAUUUGAUACUGUGUUGCUGUCAAGGUUUGAAGGUAAGAUGUAUCCCACAGCCCAUGCUGUAAAUGCUCAGUCCUCAGCUUGUCUGAAAGGCUGCAGAGCCUUUAGGAAGUGGGGGCUGACUGGAGCAAGCAGUCCAACUGAGGCAGGUCUCUGAACAAUGGAUCUGGUUUUGGUCCCUGCCCAAGCUCUGCCUACUGAUCUGUCAAGGUGUGUGUGAAAAGCACACUCCAUCCCAAGCCUCAGAUGCAUCUGCUAUAAUGCUGCCCUUGCCACACAAACUGAAAUCCUUCUGAGACCACGAACCCAAAUAAUCCGUUCCUCCCUUAUUUCUGCCACAGUGACCAGAAAGUAACUAGCAAGCUGGAAUGGACAACUGCUAGAGUUACUGAUCUAAAAGUGCCCUCUGUGAUGAACCAAGCAACUUUCCUCUGAGCUCUCUAGAGAUGUGUAAAUAUUUUUCCACUUUUCAAUCUUUUUUCUUUAGAAUUAAAAAACAUACAUUUAUCUAUUUAUUUGAGUGGGGAGCAAAUUCCACACAGCACAUAUGGUAGUCAGAAGACAACUUCUGUGAGUUAGUUCCUUCUACUGCAUGGCUUCCAGCAAUCUUCCUUCUACUGCAUGGCUUCCAGCAAUCAGACUCAGGUCAUCUGGCUUAGUUGCCAAUGCCUUAAUCCAAUGAGCCAUCUUGCUGGCCUAUCUCUGUACUUCUUUUGCUAAAAUCUGUCCCUUCUAUUUCGAGCAUGAGUGUUAUCCCACUAAUUCUCACGAAUAAUUUAGCAACAUACAGUUCUCAUACUCUGCAGGGUUUUUAAAGUUCAUUGAUUCAACUAAAAUCUGUUUAUUUACUGUAAGGAAAGUCCUGUUGUCAGAAUGAAGCAUACAGUGGUAAAUUAGUUAAGAUCCCAGAGAGAUGGUUCUUGGAGAGGACCAGAGUUCAGUCCCAGUACCCACUUCAGGCAGCUCACAGCCACUUGUAACUCCAGCUCCACGGUGUCUGGUGCCCUUUUCUGGCCUCUUCUGUACCUGCACACAAAGUGUGUACACUGACAAACACAAAAAUGAAAAGUAUCUAUAUUUUUAAAAGAUCCUUGCUAUCAUGAAAGUUCUAUUUUAAGGAGAGACAAAGAAUAUCUAGUCCAUGUUCUCAGUGUACCUCCUAGACUGAGAAAAUGCAAAGAAGCCUUCAAAUCCUUAGGUAUGUUUCUUCUAACCUACCCCAGGAGGGCUGGAAGACUUAUAAAAAUAUCAAUUUACUUUGUAUAACCUGGAAGUUUCACUAAAAGGCAGUGAGCAUUGUUUGAAAUCAUUGCAGAAUAAAACAAAAACAAACAAACAAGCCGAUCUAAACCGGGCGUGGUGGGACACGCCUUUAAUCCCAGCACUUGAGAGGCAGAGGCAGGCAGAUUUCUGAGUUCGAGGCCAGCCUGGUCUACAAAGUGAGUUCCAAGACAGCCAGGGCUAUACAGGGAAACCCUGUCUCAAAAAAACAAAAACAAAACAAACAAACAAAAAACCAAUACAAAAAAAAACAAACCCAAUCUACCAAUUUUCAAAGUCUUGGGUCAAAACAAGUGAAAGACAAAGUCAAGAUAAGAACAGAUCACAAAGGCUUAAGAGAAAAGAAUAAGAGAAUUAGAAAGUUCUUGUGCUGUUGGGAGAAUUACAGAAAGCUAUGCAUAUUCUCAGAGCAAGACGUGUGUGCAGAAAAGACAUAGGAAGAUACUUGGCUGUUAGGCAGGAUUGUUCCUGGUUUAGUCCAACCUAACUGUCAGAGUGCUUCCACAUGCUCAAAGUCAGAAAUAUUUUUGGCCUUUUAUUUUCCCCCUUCAUUUCUUCUUUUUUUAACUUUAAAAUAAAAUUUAUUUUAAAUAUUAUUAUAUUUUAAAAAUUGCCAAAAACGUCCCCUUUCUGUUUUUUUCUCCCCUUGUUUUUUUCUCACAAGAAAGCUGGUAGAUCUGAUAAUAAACUGGGCGAAGUUGCAACUUACCACAUCAUCAAACAAAAAAAAGACUUGUUUUUAUACAUCAGCAAUGGCCAAUUCAAAGAGGAAAAUAAUUCCAGGGGCUGGAGAGAUGACUUACCAAUCAGAAUCCUGUACUGCUCCUGAAGAAGAUCCAAGUUUAGUUACCAGCACCCAUACUGAGCAGGCACCAGACUACACACACACACACACACACACACACACACACACACACACACA
This is a long non-coding RNA of Mus musculus (house mouse), 4436 nucleotides long. RefSeq annotates it as predicted gene, 53893. Lineage: Eukaryota; Metazoa; Chordata; Mammalia; Rodentia; Muridae. The record is from RefSeq and is a predicted model, not a curated record. The transcript has 2 exons.